CCUACGGGCGGCAGCAGUGAGGAAUAUUGGUCAAUGGGCGUAAGCCUGAACCAGCCAAGUCGCGUGAGGGAUGAAGGUUCUAUGGAUCGUAAACCUCUUUUAUAAGGGAAUAAAGUGUGGGACGUGUCCUGUUUUGUAUGUACCUUAUGAAUAAGGAUCGGCUAACUCCGUGCCAGCAGCCGCGGUAAUACGGAGGAUCCGAGCGUUAUCCGGAUUUAUUGGGUUUAAAGGGUGCGUAGGCGGCCUUUUAAGUCAGCGGUGAAAGUUUGUGGCUCAACCAUAGAAUUGCAGUUGAAACUGGGAGGCUUGAGUAUGUUUGAGGCAGGCGGAAUGCGUGGUGUAGCGGUGAAAUGCUUAGAUAUCACGCAGAACCCCGAUUGCGAAGGCAGCCUGCCAAGCCAUGACUGACGCUGAUGCACGAAAGCGUGGGGAUCAAACAGGAUUAGAUACCCCAGUAGUC
RNAcentral lists this ribosomal RNA (460 nucleotides) under uncultured bacterium. RNAcentral describes it as "partial 16S ribosomal RNA". It matches the Rfam family "Bacterial small subunit ribosomal RNA", at positions 338 to 795 of the family's 1533-position model. The record is from RNAcentral.